This 415-nucleotide ribosomal RNA is filed under the name Didymella sp. UFMGCB 3925. Its description in RNAcentral is "eukaryotic LSU rRNA". The stretch from base 35 to 189 matches the Rfam family "5.8S ribosomal RNA". The record is from RNAcentral. Lineage: Eukaryota; Fungi; Ascomycota; Dothideomycetes; Pleosporales; Didymellaceae.
GUUGAGAUCAGGUCUGAGAAAAGAUAAUAGUUACAACUUUCAGACAACGGAUCUCUUGUGUUCUGGCAUCGAUGAAGAAGCAGGAAAUGCGAUAAGUAGUGUGAAUUGAGAAUCAGUGAAUCAUCGAAUCUUGAAGCGCACAUUGCGCCCCAUUGUGUAUUACCAUGGGGCAUGCCUGUUCGAGCGUCAUUCUGUACCUUCAAGCUUUGCUUGGUGUUGGGUGUUUGUCUCGCCUUUGACGUGUAGACUCGCCUUAAAAGAAUUGGCAGCCGGCGUAUUNGAUUUCGGAGCGCAGUACAUCUCGCUGCUUUUGCACUCAUAACGACGACGUCCAAAACAGUACAUUUUUUACACUCUUGACCUCGGAUCAGGUAGGGAUACCCGCUGAAACUUAAGCAUAUCAAUAAGCGGAGGA